This 422-nucleotide long non-coding RNA is filed under the name Pan troglodytes (chimpanzee). RNAcentral's name for it is "long non-coding RNA NONPTRT009083". The record is from RNAcentral. Lineage: Eukaryota; Metazoa; Chordata; Mammalia; Primates; Hominidae.
GCUGGGGCCACUUCCCUUGGAGACCUGGCCAUGCACCUGUUGGCAGCCAGGCCAGGUUCUGCUCUGCCCCUCACACUGAGCAGCCUCUUUGUGAAUAGGAGUAGUCAUGGCCUCUAGUCCUGCCUCUAGAAAAACAGAGAGCGAAGGGAAAACAGCAUGAAAAUUCUCAAACUACAGGAAGUGGAGAGAACAGUACAGUGACCCUACACGCUUGUUACCAGCCUCACCUGUCACCCACAUGGAGUCCUUCCCAUUCGUGGGGUUUCCAGGAUUUGCUGAGCACCUACUAUGCAUCAGACGUUGUGUUCUAGGCAAGGGGGAUACACCUGAUGGAAGAAGGUGCUUCCCUAGACGUAGCUAACAUCCCAGUGUGGGACAUGACAAGAAACAACGCAGAAACUGGAAUUCACCGAAAGGAUGGA